Molecule: long non-coding RNA, 251 nt
Filed under: Elaeis guineensis (African oil palm)
Lineage: Eukaryota; Viridiplantae; Streptophyta; Magnoliopsida; Arecales; Arecaceae
Description: long non-coding RNA (EGUI_LNC029858)
Source: RNAcentral
GGUUGCCACAUCCAGGCAACAUUUUCUAACUGUUAUGACUUCUAUCCCAAGACCUCCUAGGUGCUCACAGGAUUGAUAGAAAGAUGUUGGAGUAAUUUGAACCAGAAUCUGGCUGCUAGGUUCAGCCCAAAUCAUUCUUGUAAAUUUGAUUGGGUCGGGUCCAGUUGACAAUUCUAUUUUUUUAAUAACUGAUGGAAAAUUUAGAUUAGGUCCGGUUGGUUGGAUUUGUUUCCCACUUAUUUAUUGGGGGU